UUGUGCUUGAUCUAACCAUGUGCCGCCGCCUACACUCGCCUCACAUGGUUCCGUCAAGCACCAGG
This is a microRNA precursor of Esox lucius (northern pike), 65 nucleotides long. Lineage: Eukaryota; Metazoa; Chordata; Actinopteri; Esociformes; Esocidae. The record is from Ensembl.